Long non-coding RNA from Bactrocera dorsalis (oriental fruit fly), 1273 nucleotides. RefSeq lists it as uncharacterized. NCBI's taxonomy places the organism in Eukaryota, Metazoa, Arthropoda, Insecta, Diptera, Tephritidae. The transcript has 4 exons. The record is from RefSeq and is a predicted model, not a curated record.
CAUUUUUUGCUUAAUUAGUAUAAAAUAUUGAAUUUUAAGUAAGAUAUUCGAAAGUUUAUUAAAGUUGCUACAAUAUACAUACAUAUACUACACAUAUUUAACGUAACAUAAUAGCUAAAAUAUAUGUGCCAAACAUUAGCAAAAGGGGUCUCAAUACCAUAGGUCCUCGUUAAUUCGUUAGUCGUUAUUCGGUAGUUUUUUACAUGUAUUUUGUUUUUGUAAAAUUAACAGACUAUCGUUCUACCGAGUAACGAACUAUCAAUCUGGCAAGUUUGAUAAUUGUUUCGUUACUCGGUAAUAUCACAUCAGCUGUUUGUUUGUUGUUCGUUUCUUUAUACAUUUUUAAACGGGAAAAUAAAUUUGGUGAUCACUUCGCGAUUUCACAAAAAAUUUUGCAAAAUGGAACCUCAAAAGAAAAUACGCAGGAGGGCAAAGUCUCAAAAAAAAAAUGGAGUGAGGAAGGAAAUCAUUUACUUCCAGAAUAUUUACUAGAAAAUGUGGAAAUUGAGAAACCAAACGCCCAAUUGUACUACCAAAAAUUAAUUGAAACAAUAAAUAUCGAUGCGACUACGGACAUGUUGCGCUGCAAGGUCCGGUACUGGAAGCAGAUGUAAAAUAAAGCUCGCGCAAAUCGACAGGUGCUGGAAUAGAUGUUGGCGAUGAAACUUCCACAAUAAAAGCAAAACUUUCACAAAGUUGUGUUGUAGAGACGCGUUACAAGUGUUACGAGUGUUACAAUAUUGCAGCAAUUUUGCAGACAUUCUAGAGGUAGUGGCAAUUGCAGCCGAAUCAUCACAAUCAUAUGCGGAACCAUCGGGUUCACUUAACGAAAAAGCAGAACAGACAACAGUAGGAGCAGAGGUAGCAACAGUUCCUUCUCCCACUCCCUCGAUCCUCGAAAAAGGGAAAAAACGUGCUCCUAAGAAUUAGAAUUAGUGAAUUUAAAGAUAUGCGAAAGAAAUGAGAACAGUUUUUUGAGCAACGAAAAGAAAAGUUUAAUUUGGAGAAGUUAAACCUAGAAUUUGACAGUGAAAAGUUAAAUAAAGAUUUUGAAAUAAAAAAAUUGGAGUUAGAGCAAAAAGAAAUACUGGCAAUGAUUGAACUAAAGUACAAAUAUAAUAUACAUAUAACAAUUGUAUAUGUUUUGUAAUAUAAUAAUUUUUAAGAUUGUACAAAUGUAUUUACAUAAAUGCGAUAUCUUGAAGUGAUACAACUUUUUAUAUGCAUAUAAAAAUGAAAAAAAUAAUUUUUGAUUUAAUUAUAAUUUUUAAUU